UGGGGAAUAUUGGACAAUGGGCGAAAGCCUGAUCCAGCAAUGCCGCGUGAGUGAUGAAGGCCUUAGGGUUGUAAAGCUCUUUUACCCGGGAUGAUAAUGACAGUACCGGGAGAAUAAGCUCCGGCUAACUCCGUGCCAGCAGCCGCGGUAAUACGGAGGGAGCUAGCGUUGUUCGGAAUUACUGGGCGUAAAGCGCACGUAGGCGGCUUUGUAAGUUAGAGGUGAAAGCCUGGAGCUCAACUCCAGAACUGCCUUUAAGACUGCAUCGCUUGAAUCCAGGAGAGGUGAGUGGAAUUCCGAGUGUAGAGGUGAAAUUCGUAGAUAUUCGGAAGAACACCAGUGGCGAAGGCGGCUCACUGGACUGGUAUUGACGCUGAGGUGCGAAAGCGUGGGGAGCAAACAGGAUUAGAUACCCCGGUAGUCCCUGAGCGGGCUGGCAAGGCGCAU
This 447-nucleotide ribosomal RNA is filed under the name uncultured bacterium. Its description in RNAcentral is "bacterial SSU rRNA". It matches the Rfam family "Bacterial small subunit ribosomal RNA", at positions 355 to 825 of the family's 1533-position model. The record is from RNAcentral.